CCCUUUUAUCAAAAUACCCACUCUCUUUCUUGUUUGCCUCUCCCCAAAUUCCCUAUUUCUCUCUUGAACUCCAUGCCUUCUCUCUUUCUCUGUAUCUCUUCCUCUCGCAAAUCCAUGGAAGACCACAGCCAAGCCCGUGGGGGUGAGCAUGCGCGAAGCAAAGCACGAAGAGGCUUGCGAAGGCCUGACAUUGCUCACAGCGGAGGCGUGCGGUGGCUUGCAGAGAAGGCGGAGCUGGGUUGAUGAUGGGCGCAAGGUUGGGGCUGCAUCUCUCGGAGUGAGAAUGAGAGUGGUGAGUUUGAUUGUGUAGAUGUGAGUGAGAAAGGACCACCACACUAAAGAGAGUUAAAGGGAGAAUGGAGGAUGAGAUGAUUAGAGAUAUAAAUUUGGCUUAAACCCAACAGAGAGAAUGGAAAAGAUUAGAGAAGAUAAUGUCUCUCUGUCCCUCCCUUAUAGCGCAGAAAAGAAAGCUGAGAUUCCAUGAACCUGUUUGAUUUAAAGAAUACCAACCAGGAACUGAAAAGCAAUUUUGAAAGAUCUCUACAUUACCGCAGCUAUGUAUGUAUAGAACUAUUAUGCAUGAUGAAUCUUCUUGAGGUUCUAUUGUCUUAUAUAUAUUUUUAUGGGAAUGUUUCUAUUACGGAGGCACCUAAUGUUACAGCGAAGUAGAUUUCUCUUGAAACCGCAAGGCUGUCGUCAUCUAUGUUCCCUACUGAUUGAGGAAGGCUUUCUGCAAGAUUCAUUUGCGUUGUUGCUUUGUCUUUCUUUUCUCCGUUUGUAUUUGUGUUCUCUUUUUUUGUUUGAAUAAAAUGUAAAUCAAUUUUGUAUGAUGUGUUUGUGUACAUUUAUUUAAAAUGAAAGAAUGAGCCAAAUAUAUUUUGGAUUUGGUUUA
This is an RNA transcript of Humulus lupulus (European hop), 892 nucleotides long. RefSeq lists it as uncharacterized. The record is from RefSeq and is a predicted model, not a curated record. The transcript has 4 exons. Lineage: Eukaryota; Viridiplantae; Streptophyta; Magnoliopsida; Rosales; Cannabaceae.